UGUGAGAGGGUGUUUGUGUGUGCGUGUUUGUUCGGGUCCUGUUAGUGUGCUGUUUGUGUGCGGGUGUUGUGUGUUUGUCAAGGUGCUGUUUGUAUGAGAGUGUGCUGUUUGUGUGUGGGUGCUGUGCGGGUGUUGUGUGUGGGUUUUGUGUGUUUGUGAGGAUGCUGUUAGUGUGCUGGGUGUGUGUGGGUGUUGUAUGUGUGUGGGUGCUGUGUGUGCGAGG
Non-coding RNA from Pelobates cultripes (western spadefoot toad), 223 nucleotides. Lineage: Eukaryota; Metazoa; Chordata; Amphibia; Anura; Pelobatidae. The record is from the annotation of a GenBank genome assembly.